RNAcentral lists this small RNA (161 nucleotides) under Chelonoidis abingdonii (Abingdon island giant tortoise). RNAcentral's name for it is "TUC338 (ENSCABG00000001214.1)". Lineage: Eukaryota; Metazoa; Chordata; Testudines; Testudinidae. The record is from RNAcentral.
UUUACAGAUCCAGACUGACACAGCUACCCCUCUGAUAGCAGAGACAGUGGCAGUGCAAGUUUCCCUCCUUACCUGUCAGUAUCCCUCAACCCUGCCCUGGAAGGACUAUCCCUGGCAGGAAGAAGAGUUCAGCCAUCAUACCCAUUUGAUCCUUGGCCUCU